GGUAAUACGUAGGGUCCGAGCGUUGUCCGGAAUUAUUGGGCGUAAAGAGCUCGUAGGCGGUUUGUCGCGUCUGCUGUGAAAACUGGAGGCUCAACCUCCAGCCUGCAGUGGGUACGGGCAGACUAGAGUGCGGUAGGGGAGAAUGGAAUUCCUGGUGUAGCGGUGGAAUGCGCAGAUAUCAGGAGGAACACCGAUGGCGAAGGCAGUUCUCUGGGCCGUAACUGACGCUGAGGAGCGAAAGCGUGGGGAGCGAACAGGAUUA
RNAcentral lists this ribosomal RNA (262 nucleotides) under Agromyces allii. RNAcentral describes it as "partial 16S ribosomal RNA". It matches the Rfam family "Bacterial small subunit ribosomal RNA", at positions 519 to 780 of the family's 1533-position model. The record is from RNAcentral. Lineage: Bacteria; Bacillati; Actinomycetota; Actinomycetes; Micrococcales; Microbacteriaceae.